Long non-coding RNA from Austrofundulus limnaeus, 126 nucleotides. RefSeq lists it as uncharacterized. The record is from RefSeq and is a predicted model, not a curated record. The transcript is spliced from 3 exons. Lineage: Eukaryota; Metazoa; Chordata; Actinopteri; Cyprinodontiformes; Rivulidae.
AAGUCCCCCAGCAGAACAAGGGAGUCCCCAGGGGGAGCACCCUCCAAUACCCCCUCUAAGGACUCCAAGAAGGGUGGGUAAUCUGAACUGUUGUUCGGCCCGUAAGCACAAACAACAGUCAGGACC